This 619-nucleotide ribosomal RNA is filed under the name uncultured bacterium. Its description in RNAcentral is "bacterial SSU rRNA". It matches the Rfam family "Bacterial small subunit ribosomal RNA", at positions 138 to 773 of the family's 1533-position model. The record is from RNAcentral.
GGGGGACAACAGUUGGAAACGACUGCUAAUACCGCAUAACGCAUAGGGGUCGCAUGAUCUUUAUGCCAAAGAUUUAUUGCUUCAAGAUGGCCUCGCGUCUGAUUAGCUAGUUGGCGGGGUAACGGCCCACCAAGGCGACGAUCAGUAGCCGGACUGAGAGGUUGAACGGCCACAUUGGGACUGAGAUACGGCCCAGACUCCUACGGGAGGCAGCAGUGGGGAAUAUUGGGCAAUGGGCGCAAGCCUGACCCAGCAACGCCGCGUGAAGGAAGAAGGCUUUCGGGUUGUAAACUUCUUUUAAGAGGGAAGAGUAGAAGACGGUACCUCUAGAAUAAGCCACGGCUAACUACGUGCCUGCAGCCGCGGUAAUACGUAGGUGGCAAGCGUUGUCCGGAUUUACUGGGUGUAAAGGGCGUGCAGCCGGGUCUGCAAGUCAGAUGUGAAAUCCAUGGGCUCAACCCAUGAACUGCAUUUGAAACUGUAGAUCUUGAGUGUCGGAGGGGCAAUCGGAAUUCCUAGUGUAGCGGUGAAAUGCGUAGAUAUUAGGAGGAACACCAGUGGCGAAGGCGGAUUGCUGGACGAUAACUGACGGUGAGGCGCGAAAGUGUGGGGAGCAAAC